RNAcentral lists this ribosomal RNA (796 nucleotides) under Camposicola altifrons. RNAcentral describes it as "partial large subunit ribosomal RNA". The stretch from base 512 to 796 matches the Rfam family "Eukaryotic large subunit ribosomal RNA", at positions 665 to 919 of the family's 3401-position model. Lineage: Eukaryota; Metazoa; Arthropoda; Arachnida; Opiliones; Gonyleptidae. The record is from RNAcentral.
AGUACGUGAAACCGUUCGGAGGUAAACGAGUGGGCCCUCGAAGUGUGAAGGCGGGGGGACUCAGCCGAACGCCGUCGAGCCCGCGGGCGGGUCCGCGCUUCCCUCCCGGGACGCGGUCCGCCCGUGUGCUGGCUCCGGUUUGCGGCGCAUUUCCUCCCGUCCUCCGACGCCGCGACCGGUCGGGCGCGCCACGAGCAGUCGGCCUUACUCGCGGGAAACGGAAGGUAGCCGGGUCGGCGCUCACGCGCCGAUCCCCGGUGUUCUAGCCGUCCCGCAAUCGAGUCAGCCGUUCGCCCGACCGCAGGAACCACGGGCCCUCAGGGGCCCCGCCGUGCCCUCCCCCGUUCUCGGGGGAUCGCUUCCCGCCUCGGAAGGGAUGCCGCUCGUCCCCGCGCCGCACCUCCGGUGCGCGUGGGGCGGCGGCGCCCGCUGGCCGGGGCGGUCGCGAUUCGGGCGCUGGCGGUCCGCGGCGAGUAGGUCGGUCACCCACUCGACCCGUCUUGAAACACGGACCAAGGAGUUUAACAUGCACGCGAGUCACUGGGUCGUGAGCAGGCCCAAGGGCGCAAUGAAAGUGAAGGGCGGCCCCUGCCGUCCGCGUUGGGAUCCUCCGGCCUCCGCGCCGGGGGCGCACCAACGGCUCGUCCGGGCCGCCACGUCGGCCGGGCGAAGCUAGAGCGUGCACGUUGAGACCCGAAAGAUGGUGAACUAUGGCUGGGCAGGACGAAGCCAGAGGAAACUCUGGUGGAGGUCCGCAGCGGUUCUGACGUGCAAAUCGAUCGUCAGACCUGGCAUA